This 253-nucleotide ribosomal RNA is filed under the name uncultured bacterium. RNAcentral's name for it is "partial 16S ribosomal RNA". It matches the Rfam family "Bacterial small subunit ribosomal RNA", at positions 524 to 776 of the family's 1533-position model. The record is from RNAcentral.
UACAGAGGGUGCAAGCGUUGUUCGGAAUUAUUGGGCGUAAAGGGCGCGUAGGCGGCCGCGUAUGUCCGGUGUGAAAGCCCACCUCUUAAAGGUGGAAUUGCAUCGGAAACUACGUGGCUGGAGUGUCGGAGAGGAUGGUGGAAUUCCUGGUGUAGAGGUGAAAUUCGUAGAUAUCAGGAGGAACACCGGUGGCGAAGGCGGCCAUCUGGACGACUACUGACGCUGAGGCGCGAAAGCGUGGGGAGCAAACAGG